GACGAACGCUGGCGGCGUGCUUAACACAUGCAAGUCGAACGAUGAAGCUGGAGCUUGCUCCGGCGGAUUAGUGGCGAACGGGUGAGUAACACGUGAGCAAUCUGCCCUUCACUCUGGAGUAACUGCGGGAAACUGUAGCUAAUACCGGAUAAGAAGCCUUGGGGCAUCCCGGGGCCUGGGAAGAAUUUCGGUGAAGGAUGAGGUCGCGGCCUAUCAGCUAGUUGGUGAGGUAAUGGCUCAGCAAGGCGACGACGGGUAGCCGGCCUGGGGGGGUGGCCGGCCACACUGGGACUUAGACACGGCCCAGACUCCUACGGGAGGCAGCAGUGGGGAAUAUUGCACAAUGGGCGAAAGCCUGAUGCAGCAACGCCGCGUUAGGGAUGAAGGCCUUCUUGUUGUAAACCUCUUUUAGUAGGGAAGAAGCGAAAGUGACGGUACCUACAGAAAAAGCACCGGCUAACUACGUGCCAGCCGCCGCCGUAA
This 483-nucleotide ribosomal RNA is filed under the name uncultured bacterium. RNAcentral describes it as "partial 16S ribosomal RNA". It matches the Rfam family "Bacterial small subunit ribosomal RNA", at positions 28 to 523 of the family's 1533-position model. The record is from RNAcentral.